This is a long non-coding RNA of Cervus elaphus (red deer), 1338 nucleotides long. RefSeq lists it as uncharacterized. The record is from RefSeq and is a predicted model, not a curated record. NCBI's taxonomy places the organism in Eukaryota, Metazoa, Chordata, Mammalia, Artiodactyla, Cervidae. The transcript is spliced from 4 exons.
UCCCAUGCCGCAGGCGGCCUGCCCUGAGUCAUCAAGAGCGCCUUCGGGCGAGCGCCAUUCUCGGCCGGAGGCCACGCGAGCCACGCUGAUGUUCGAGCGCUGGCGCCCCAAAACCACCCCACUGCAAGGAGCUUUCAGGGCUCUAGAGUAAGAGCUGGGAGCUGUUUAUUUAUGGCUGCAAAUGUGUGCGUGCGAGAGAGAGGGAGAAUUGAUCUUUGCCUGGACUUAAAGAUGGAGCCGAAGGCGCUGGAGGGAAUUUGGGUUUGUGCGCCUAGCUCAGACCGGGGCGCCGAAGGGGGCCGUUUGGCACGAAGCCCGAGGUCGCUCUUUUCCGCACCCCUCACCUCGCGACCUUUCAGGAAUCUGAGGGGUCCUGAAGCGGCCUGGCUGACCCACCUCCCCGGGGCCGAGCUACCGAGAAAGGCUUCAUGGAGGGAGCCAUCCCGUCCCCGUCUUUAAAAUGAGCGCAAUAAAAGGGGGCAAAUCCUCAAACGCGAACCUGAUCACUUGUCACAGAAGCAACUUGCCAUGAAAUCCGCUAAUGCGCCGCGACUCGCCCACCCGGAUAGAUAACCCCGGCAGUGGUGUAACCAGCGCGCGCGCCCAAAGCCGUCUUGUCCCUCGAAUGCGCUCACCGCCGGCAACACUUGGAGAAUCCAGCCCACAGUGGUUUCGAAAACCCCAUUUUCCUGAUUGCAGCUCAGACUCUGGAACCCCGAGAGCCGCCCCAGAGAGGGAGCCUGAAUCGGGCCAAGUAGUGGGUCGGGGGCACACAAACACGCACGCACGCACGCACAUGCACACACAGGCAGAGAGCAGUGCUUCAUAGGAUCUAAGAUCCAGAGUGGCUGGAAGCGGGUCUGGGAGGCCACGGCUGAGGGAGCCAGCAAGGCCCUGGUGCUGCCCCUGCCAGAGUCGUGCAGCCACUGAAGCAGCCUGAUCCUGAUAGUUAUUUUGGGGUUGGGGGGGGGGGCGGACCUGGAACCCAGGUUUGAGCUAAAGAAAGUAAGGGCAAGUGACAGAUGACCAAGCAUUUCUUUGAAAUGAGGAAGAACUGAGACCUACCCAGCUGGCCUGGCAUUAGGGCAAUCUGGACAUUAGGAAACUACUCUCCUCGCGCACACAGCAGCACACAUCCUCCGAUGGCAAGCUCACCCAUGCCCAGCAAGGGCCACUGCACCUCCUAACUGCUUUGUCGGCCUCCUCCAGGUUUUGCCAGGCAAAUGAAACAAGAACUCAAUAGUAAAUUAUUUUGUUCAGACUUCUGUCUUUUUAUGAAAAUAAAAGGCAACACUUUGUCAUUUUUAAUCAUAUAAGCAGACAAUAAACCUAAUCUUG